UGGUGGGUAUCAUUAAAGAUACCUAUCAGUUUAAUCUUAUCUUAGAUGGAACAGUCGCCAUACACACAUAAUAACUCAUCAAAACAAGUCGGAUAUGGAAAUGAAUAUUUAAAGGUAAAUAAUUAAUCUUGUUUAAGAAGAAAGGGCGAGGAUUCUGGCGAUUUCUAAAAAAAGUCGAACUGUUUAAAUUGGCAAGAAUUCGGUCGGGAUGAGCUGCAAUUAACCUGCCUAGACAACACACUUCUAUGAAAGAGUGAAUACAAUAAAGAACAUGUAGAUGUAGUCUUAAACAACAUAGAGAAAGACAAAACAUAAAAACUAGCAAAUAUACUGAUAAAUAACGUUCGAUUUAUCACAAUUUUCAAUCAGUUAUUUAACAAGAUCCAUUGAUAGUUUCACCACAUCUAAAAUAUUAUUGUUAUUUUUGAUUUUUAUUAUUCAAAGGCAAUUCCUGUGUGAAUAAAACUGUUUUCAUAGCCAUAAAAGAUUACUAGACGUGUAUAAACGCGAUCCAUCAACAUUUAUAACAACUUUGAAUUCUUUGUUUAAAUGUGGACUCCCAAUUUAUUUCCUCAAAUUCUGAAUUAAUUAUCAGUCAUUUGCAAUGAUCCAUCCCAGUUCCGCCCGAUGCCCCCCGACACCGCUGCUUUAUUGUGAUGUAGUAUUUUUACUUGCUAACAAUACAAUCUAUCUUAAUUUGCCGGAACGAUUGCGUUGAAAAAUAAUUUUAUUUUCUUUAAUGAAUGGGGAAAAUAAAAUUUCAGACAACGCAUAACAUAUUUAUUUCAUUAAAUCACAAUGGAAUGUCCGUAAGUUAGCAGACAGCAAGUCGACCGUACGAAACACUAUAUGUACAUGUAUUUAUCCAAGGGAUACUCGUCCAAGUUUCCAGUCUUCUCUUAUUACAUCUCGAUACAUCAAGAAACGACCAUUUUUUGGUUUUUCGUCCCAUAAAAUUUCUUGGUAUACAAAUUGGAACGCCAAUGAGUGCCGAUGCGGAAGCAAUUUUGUCCAGUUCUCGGCAUUAGAUCUUUUUCUAGGGAUAUUUUUGGUGCAAGUAUAUAGCUACAUGCUGUGACACAUAUCCUCCGUCAUGUCCGAAGGACUGAUCUCCGCGUCCUGCAGCGAAA
Saccostrea cuccullata (small rock oyster) is the source of this 1130-nucleotide long non-coding RNA. RefSeq lists it as uncharacterized. The record is from RefSeq and is a predicted model, not a curated record. Lineage: Eukaryota; Metazoa; Mollusca; Bivalvia; Ostreida; Ostreidae. The transcript has 3 exons.